This 465-nucleotide ribosomal RNA is filed under the name uncultured bacterium. RNAcentral's name for it is "bacterial SSU rRNA". It matches the Rfam family "Bacterial small subunit ribosomal RNA", at positions 338 to 795 of the family's 1533-position model. The record is from RNAcentral.
CCUACGGGGUGCACCAGUGGGGAAUAUUGCACAAUGGGCGCAAGCCUGAUGCAGCCAUACCGCGUGUAUGAAGUAAGCCUUCGGGUUGUAAAGUACUUUCAGCGGGGAGGAAGGUGUUGAGGUUAAUAACCUCAGCAAUUGACGUUACCCGCAGAAGAAGCACCGGCUAACUCCGUGCCAGCAGCCGCGGUAAUACGGAGGGUGCAAGCGUUAAUCGGAAUUACUGGGCGUAAAGCGCACGCAGGCGGUCUGUCAGGUCGGAUGUGAAAUCCCCGGGCUCAACCUGGGAACUGCAUUCGAAACUGGCAGGCUAGAGUCUUGUAGAGGGGGGUAGAAUUCCAGGUGUAGCGGUGAAAUGCGUAGAGAUCUGGAGGAAUACCGGUGGCGAAGGCGGCCCCCUGGACGAAGACUGACGCUCAGGUGCGAAAGCGUGGGGAGCAAACAGGAUUAGAUACCCCCGUAGUC